AUGAGGGACAUAUGUUUUAACAGAUUAGGGAAGAUAAACAUGAUGAACUAUCAUUCAGCCAUUUCAAAAGACAUAAUCAGGAAGGCUCUCUCGAAACAUGGAAAAAUGUUUCACAGCAGAGACAGCCCAGAUGACCAUAAGGGGAAGGACUUAAUGGAUUGCGGUGAAUCAACACAAUGGAACAUUACAGCAGCUAUUUUUAAAAAGCUUCGUGGCUGAAGAGCCGCAAAGACGGCACCCACAGUUCCUCCUGCUCUCCUGCAUGCUCUUCCCACCAAGAUGUGGAGAUGACUUGGCCUCCUCUUACAUCUGGGCUGGCUUAUAACCUGCUUGGGCCAUAGUACGUGGUGCAGGUGACACUGUAUGACUCUGGGCCUCAGCGUGUGUUUCCUAGAAACACGUGCUUCUGUUUUCACCCUCAUGGAAGCCAACUGCCAUGUACACAAAUCCAGCUGUCCUGCUAGAGAGAGAAACCACAUGGAGAGAGAGACUCUGAGGGGAGAGAAUUUCACUCGGCCAGCUCCUGGGUGCUCCAGACACCCUGCAGAGGUACCAGACUUGUGAACGAGGCUAUCUUGGAUCCUCUAGCUCUGGUAGAACCACCCUCGCCAACACUAUGUGGAGCAGAGACGAGUCAUCUGCAUUGAACUGUGCUCUCAUUGCUGAACUGUAGGCAAAUAAAUGCUUGCUGCUAUUUGCAGUCACUAAGUUUUGAGAUGGUAGCAAUAGCUAACUGAAACAGCUCUAAUCUGAAUAGACCGAAGGACUCUAGGACCAGCGUUAAGUCUCCCCUGGUUUUACAUUUCCUUUCCCACACAGAGCCUGGCGCCUUAUAAAUGUUGGGUGGAUGGAUUCAGGUGAGAAAGAGGAGGGAAGCAGAACAGGCAUAAUAAUGCCUAACUUUUAUUAGGCACAUUAAAGCUCCUUUCUAUGUAUUGACUCAACUAAUUCUCACCACGGCAUGGUUGAAGAAAUAUGGUACAGAGAAGAUAAUCAACUUAUUCAAGGAAAGCACGGUGAUAUCUGGGAUUCAAACUCUGGCAGUCUGGGCCGCAUGCAUACAACUGUUUUGUUAUGUUAAAUAACAUGAUGAAGAUUAAGUAGUCUAAAUACUGGCUCCUAACAGGCGUCUUCUCAAAUAAGUAUAGAGAGAACCAGGACAGGAUAAUUAUCAGGCGAGGGCCUGUGGCUGGGCUUUGGGAGGGAUGUUCUUGGCAUGGGGAGCCUGUGCCUGGUUCCACAGGGUAAUUCUGCACACACACAAACCCCUGGGCAGGCUGGGCCCCACCAUGCACCUGCAGCCUCCAGAUUUCUGGAAUUCAGUGAUUCCCACACGCUUACCCAUGUGGGUGGGUAAGUUAAAUAAUCACACCGCCCAUUAGUUUCCAUUUUAUAUAAAUACUAUGCUGGAGAAAUGGUGAGUCUUGACAGGCCUGAACCACCCAGUCCAGGGAUUGGAAAAGUAUAGCCCAGGACCCAAGUCCUGCCCACCACCUGUUUUUAUAUGACCUACAGCUAAUAAUGUUUUUCACAUUUAUUAACGGUAAAAAUGGAGGGAAAAAAAUCAAACAAUAAUACUAUUUUUUGACAUGUGAAUAUAUUAUAAAUUCAAAUUUUAGUGCCUGAUAUAGUUUGGAUAUUUGUCCCCACCCAAAUCUCAUGUUGAACUGUAGUCCCCAGUGUAAAAGACAGAGCCUGGUGGGAGGUAUUUAGGUGUCAUGGGAGUGGAUCCCUCAUGGCUUGGUGCUGUCCUUGCAAUAGUGAGUGAGUUCUUGUAAGAUCUAGCUGUGUGCAUGUAUGGCACCUCCCCCGUCCCAACUCUCUAGCUCCUGCCACAUGAUGUGCCUGUUUCCCCUUUGCCUUCCACCAUUUUCAGUUUCCUGAGGCUUCCGCUAUGCUUCCUGUACAGCUAACAGAACCAUGAGCCAAUUAAACUUCUUUUUAAAAAAAAAAAAAUUACCCAGUCUCAGGUAUUUCUUAUAUCAAUGCAAGAACAGCCGAAUAGAGAAAAUUAGUGCCAGGAGUGGAGCAUUUCCAAAAUGUGGAAAUGACUUUGGAACUGGGUGACAGGCAGAGGCUAGAAGAGUUUGGAGGACUCACAAGAAGACAGGAAGAUGAGGGAAAGUUUGCA
Molecule: long non-coding RNA, 2131 nt
Filed under: Papio anubis (olive baboon)
Lineage: Eukaryota; Metazoa; Chordata; Mammalia; Primates; Cercopithecidae
Description: lncRNA (ENSPANG00000043022.1)
Source: RNAcentral